RNAcentral lists this ribosomal RNA (1364 nucleotides) under metagenome. RNAcentral's name for it is "eukaryotic LSU rRNA". It matches the Rfam family "Eukaryotic large subunit ribosomal RNA", at positions 2063 to 3195 of the family's 3401-position model. The record is from RNAcentral.
AAUUAUGAUGUCUUUCACCACUUUGUGUAUUCAUUUACUUCUAACUUUGAACUGUUACUAACUAGGGGAAUCCGACUGUUUAAUAAAAACAAAGCAUUGAGAAGUUUUUUUGGAUUGAAAGUGUCUUUAACUCAAUGUGAUUUCUGCCCAGUGCUCUGAAUGUCAAUGUGAAGAGAUUCGACCAAGCGCGGGUUAACGGCGGGAGUAACUAUGACUCUCUUAAGGUAGCCAAAUGCCUCGUCUUCUAAUUAAAGACGAGCAUGAAUGGAUUAACGAGAUUCCUACUGUCCCUACUUACAUGCUAGUGAAACCACAGUCCGGGGAACGGGCCGGAUAAAAUAGACAGCGGGGAAAGAAGACCCUAUUGAGCUUGACUCUAGUUUGUAUUUGUGACGUGAUAUUGGGGGUGUAGCAUAAGUGGGAGAUGCAAUUCGACAAUGAAAUACCACUACCGCAAUCAUUGCUUUACUAAGAAGAUGAUAUGAAAGAAAAAUGACGCAAUUGUUUUUAUUUAUAAGUAUUAUUAUAAUGGUAAUGAAGGUUAUUGUGAGGGCUAAUAGUUAUUCAUAUGUUUUAGGAGUGAAGGAGUACAAUAUAUAGCAAUAUUUAUUGUUCUCUUAUUUAUCAUUCCACUUGUGAGUACUCUAUUAGUUGUAGCAGUGAUCCUCUCUUACUAUUAAACCUUUCUUAUCUUCAAUAUUUUCAGAUGGGGAGUUUGGCUGGGGCGGCACAUUUGUGAAAUGAUAGCGCAAGUGUCCAAAGGAAUACUCAAAAAGGACAGAAACCUUUUGUAGAGGAGAAGGCUAAAUAGUAUUCUUGAUUAUGAUGUUCAGUAAAAAUAAUACUAUGAAAGUAUGGCCUAUCGAUCCUUUAGUGGGGUAAGCAGCAAUGCGAUUUAUAACCCUGUAUAUAACCAUUUCUUUUAUUCUAGAGGUGUCAGAAAAGUUACCAUAGGGAUAACUGGCUUGUGGCGGCCAAGAGUUCAGAUCGACGUCGCUUUUUGAUCCUUCGAUGUCGGCUCUUCCUAUCCUUGUCUUGCAGAAAAGACAAAGCGUUGGAUUGUUCACCCAUUAAAAGGGAACGUGAGCUGGGUUUAGACCGUCGUGAGACAGGUUAGUUUUAUCCUACUGUCGAGUAUAGAAAUCUAAUUGCAACAAUAGCAAUUUAUAAUAUAGAGUAGUUUUGAUAGUAAUUUAAUUCAGUACGAGAGGAACCAUUAAUUCAUAUAAUUGGUAAUGCACCUGAUUGAAAAGUCAAUGGUGCAAAGCUAACAUAUGUUUGUUUAUAGCUGAACGCCUCUAAGCUAGAAACGAACCUAAAGACAGAACUAUAUAUUCAUUAGGAGGACAAUUAACAUUUCUUGU